GGUCCCGCCUGCCCAGUGACCAAGUGUUCAACGGCCGCGGUAUUUUGACCGUGCGAAGGUAGCGCAAUAACUUGUCCUUUAAAUGAAGACUAGUAUGAAUGGCAUCACGAGGGCUUAGCUGUCUCCUUUUUUAAGUCAAUGAAAUUGAUCUUCCCGUGCAAAAGCGGGAAUAAGAACAUAAGACGAGAAGACCCUGUGGAGCUUUAGACACUAAGACAGACCCCGUAAGAAUGCCUCAAUAAGGGCUAAAACUAAAAGGUAUCUGGCCUGAUGUCUUUGGUUGGGGCGACCGCGGAGAAUAAAAAAACCUCCCCUCCGCGCGGACUGGAGGAACCCACCCACCACAUACCCCUCCAAAAUUAAGAGUUACCACUCGAACUAACAGAACUUUCUGACCACUGUGAUCCGGCGCAAAGCCGAUCAACGAAUCAAGUUACCCCAGGGAUAACAGCGCAAUCCCCUUCUAGAGUCCAUAUCGACAAGGGGGUUUACGACCUCGAUGUUGGAUCAGGACAUCCUAAUGGUGCAGCCGCUAUUAAGGGUUCGUUUGUUCAACGAUUAAAGUCCUACGUGAUC
RNAcentral lists this ribosomal RNA (576 nucleotides) under Grammoplites scaber (rough flathead). RNAcentral describes it as "partial 16S ribosomal RNA". It matches the Rfam family "Bacterial large subunit ribosomal RNA", at positions 1851 to 2605 of the family's 2925-position model. Lineage: Eukaryota; Metazoa; Chordata; Actinopteri; Perciformes; Platycephalidae. The record is from RNAcentral.